GGGGACCAGCUGGGUCCCAGUCUGGAGCUUCAGGGCAGAGAUGAGCUGUAGGGUGACCAGCUGGGUCCCAGUCUGGGCAGCAGGGCAGAGAUGAGCUGUAGGGGGACCAGCUGGGUCCCAGUCUGGGGCUUCAGGGCAGAGAUGAGCUGUAGGGGGACCAUGAUGAAUCCC
Molecule: non-coding RNA, 171 nt
Organism: Salvelinus sp. IW2-2015
Lineage: Eukaryota; Metazoa; Chordata; Actinopteri; Salmoniformes; Salmonidae
Source: RefSeq, a predicted model, not a curated record